GACGAACGCUGGCGGCGUGCUUAACACAUGCAAGUCGAACGGCAAGGCACUGCUUUUGUGGGGUGCUCGAGUGGCGAACGGGUGAGUAACACGUGAGUAACCUGCCCUUGACUUUGGGAUAACUUCAGGAAACUGGGGCUAAUACCGGAUAGGAGCUCCUGCUGCAUGGUGGGGGUUGGAACGUUUCGGCGGUUGGGGAUGGACUCGCGGCUUAUCAGCUUGUUGGUGGGGUAGUGGCUUACCAAGGCUUUGACGGGUAGCCGGCCUGAGAGGGUGACCGGCCACAUUGGGACUGAGAUACGGCCCAGACUCCUACGGGAGGCAGCAGUGGGGAAUAUUGCACAAUGGGCGGAAGCCUGAUGCAGCAACGCCGCGUGCGGGAUGACGGCCUUCGGGUUGUAAACCGCUUUCGCCUGUGACGAAGCGUGAGUGACGGUAAUGGGUAAAGAAGCACCGGCUAACUACGUG
This 468-nucleotide ribosomal RNA is filed under the name uncultured bacterium. RNAcentral describes it as "partial 16S ribosomal RNA". It matches the Rfam family "Bacterial small subunit ribosomal RNA", at positions 28 to 507 of the family's 1533-position model. The record is from RNAcentral.